AAUAGGAUGUGAUUCCCACUCAUAGUAGGGAGCCUUAAAUGCUGCUACUCGUGCCCUUUAUUGAGUAUAUUGUAACCAUAGUUAGUUAGCAUAGUUGGUUAUUUUGUUAAUUGGUUAAGGCUUAUGGUUAAAACUAUGACACUCUCUAUAAAAGCCUGACCUCUUAGUACAUUACAUUCAUUCAUUCAAUACACAGUUUCUGGUAUCUUCUUCUUCUUUCGCUUUUCCCUUCAACCUAUUCAUG
This 244-nucleotide long non-coding RNA is filed under the name Lotus japonicus. RNAcentral's name for it is "long non-coding RNA (LJAP_LNC000553)". Lineage: Eukaryota; Viridiplantae; Streptophyta; Magnoliopsida; Fabales; Fabaceae. The record is from RNAcentral.